AAUCAGGUAGGACUACCCGCUGAACUUAAGCAUAUCAAUAAGCGGAGGAAAAGAAACCAACAGGGAUUGCCUUAGUAGCGGCGAGUGAAGCGGCAAAAGCUCAAAUUUGAAAUCUGGCACUUUCAGUGUCCGAGUUGUAAUUUGAAGAAGGUAUCUUUGGGUCUGGCUCUUGUCUAUGUUUCUUGGAACAGAACGUCACAGAGGGUGAGAAUCCCGUGCGAUGAGAUGACCCAGACCUAUGUAAAGUUCCUUCGAAGAGUCGAGUUGUUUGGGAAUGCAGCUCUAAGUGGGUGGUAAAUUCCAUCUAAAGCUAAAUAUUGGCGAGAGACCGAUAGCGAACAAGUACAGUGAUGGAAAGAUGAAAAGAACUUUGAAAAGAGAGUGAAAAAGUACGUGAAAUUGUUGAAAGGGAAGGGCUUGAGAUCAGACUUGGUAUUUUGUAUGUUACUCUCUCGGGGGUGGCCUCUACAGUUUACCGGGCCAGCAUCAGUUUGGGCGGUAGGAGAAUUGCAAAGAAAUGUGGCACUGCCUCGGUAGUGUGUUAUAGUCUUUGUCGAUACUACCAGCCUAGACUGAGGACUGCGG
Molecule: ribosomal RNA, 585 nt
Filed under: Lodderomyces orthopsilosis
Lineage: Eukaryota; Fungi; Ascomycota; Pichiomycetes; Serinales; Debaryomycetaceae
Description: Candida orthopsilosis partial large subunit ribosomal RNA
Rfam family: Eukaryotic large subunit ribosomal RNA
Source: RNAcentral